UUGGGGUUUAGAUUUCACCUACUAUACUCUCAUGCAUAUAAGAAUUUGUCUUCUUCAUUUGAAUGUUAAUGUCACUUUCUAAAUUACUUAGAACUCAAUGUCUCGGCGUAAAAAGCCUAUCCUUAAUUAUUAGACCACAAUCCCUUGCAUCCCUAAUAAUCAAUUCUACAUUACGAAUAGAAGCUUAAGACAACUAAACGUACUAUCCCU
RNAcentral lists this long non-coding RNA (210 nucleotides) under Vigna radiata. Its description in RNAcentral is "long non-coding RNA (VRAD_LNC011281)". The record is from RNAcentral. Lineage: Eukaryota; Viridiplantae; Streptophyta; Magnoliopsida; Fabales; Fabaceae.